GAUGAACGCUGGCGGCGUGCCUAAUACAUGCAAGUCGUGCGGUAACGGGGAGAGCUUGCUCUCUGCCGACGAGUGGCGGACGGCUGAGUAACACGUAGGAACAUACCCCAAAGUGAGGGAUAACUGCUCGAAAGAGUAGCUAAUACCGCAUGUGGUCUAAGGAUUAAAGCUUCGGCGCUUUGGGAAUGGCCUGCGUUCGA
Molecule: ribosomal RNA, 200 nt
Filed under: uncultured bacterium
Lineage: Bacteria
Description: partial 16S ribosomal RNA
Rfam family: Bacterial small subunit ribosomal RNA
Source: RNAcentral